RNAcentral lists this microRNA precursor (83 nucleotides) under Mus musculus (house mouse). Its description in RNAcentral is "predicted gene, 55335 (ENSMUSG00002076253.1)". The record is from RNAcentral. Lineage: Eukaryota; Metazoa; Chordata; Mammalia; Rodentia; Muridae.
AUAUAUGUGUGUGUGUGUGUGUGUGUGUAUACUUAUAUAAUACACACACACACACACACACACACACACACACACACACAUAU